Columba livia (rock pigeon) is the source of this 6866-nucleotide long non-coding RNA. RefSeq lists it as uncharacterized. Lineage: Eukaryota; Metazoa; Chordata; Aves; Columbiformes; Columbidae. The record is from RefSeq and is a predicted model, not a curated record. The transcript is spliced from 2 exons.
GUUACCUGCCUCGCAAGAGCCUCGCUGAGCUCCUCCUGGCAGCAGGGCCACUUCUGAGAAUUAGAAAAGUGUGCAACUCUAUUUGUUUCACCAUUUAUAUAUCAGGUGACAAGUAGCUUCUGCUAGACUUAAACCCCAAAAACUAAAACCACCAUACCCAGCUUGGGACCCAGCCAUGGAAGAGCUACUGUUUGGGGUCAGCCAGAUGAGUGUUCUUGGGCAUUGCCACCUGUGCUGGAGACCAUGGCAAAUUUACUGUUUCUGAUGAGCCUGGUCCCAAUAUUGCCUUACAUACUGGCCCAAGGUUUACAUAGGGGUGCUACAAAGACCUGCUGGAAUAAAGGCUGGCUUAGAGCAAUGUCAUCUUGCUUGUGAGAGGGACAAAACAUCUACGAGCUCCAUACAAGACCAGACACCAACAGCACCGUGCGGGACCCUACGUGCAUUCAAAGAACUGGUGGUCUGAGAUGUUCUGGGCUCAUGGGAGCUGUGGUCGGUCAGUUUGGGUCACAGGUAACGUGACCAGCAUUCUUUUGGGCCAUCGUCCUUCUUAUUUCAAUGUAAACACUUCCCACCUGUCCCAAAUAUGCAUGCCAUUCUCCAAGACUUUCCAGCAUUGCUUACAUUUGCAGAACUUUAUUCCCCGCUCCCUGUGCCGCAUCUGUUCCCAUCACAGCUGUGGCCACCCUGUUCUGUCUGGCUGACAUCCCUGGCCCUCCCCUUUCCCCUCCAAACCACCUCCCCCUCCAAGAUCAAAAUACUCUGUUUUUAUUUAUUUACCCUGCAGCUGUCAGUGUUGUGUCUGGGUCAGUGCACUGCAACGUGGAGAGACACGCGAUAGGUGGUAAUUCCUUAAAACUGCCAAUCCUGGUAGUAACCAACAUACACCACAUCAACAAAUAUAUCCCUUGGCCCUUUGUUCCUUUGAAAACAACAGGUCCAUGGGAUGGAAGAAAUGACAUUGUUGGAGGCUGGUACAGAUAUCCUGGUCUGAACCAGCAUUGACUUUGUAAGUGGCCCGGGAGAAGAGUCAGGACUGAAGAGAGGGGCUAUCCCAGGGCUGCCCACCCCGCUGCUUUUUGGCACUGCACAGAAAUGUGCAAGACAGAGACAUGGCUGUGAGACAUCAGGCAACAGCUUUGCUGUCUCUCUGCCCCACACACUGCUUUUUAAGAUGAAAGGAAAUACUGUGUCACAAAGUGGAAGAUGCUGUUGAGAAGCAGGAAGCAUUUGGGAUGGUGCAUGGUGGCAAAGAAAGGCAGAGGCAGGAAUGAGUCUGAUUUUCUUCUCUUUAUCUGCUGAUUUCAAGCUCAGUAUUCAGACACCAGCUUUGGCGAAGGUGAGGCGUCAGCCCCUUUCAGCUGCAGCACUUUAUGAACAUGGGCUAGUACAUGGGCUCACCAGUGGAUGUCUCAUUCCUAUAUCAGUACAAGCCUUGCCCUGGUGUAAAGACAAGUCUUUACCUCAAUAAAGCAAGGAGUACAACUAUGAUUUAAGGUUGGAGAGAAAUAGGAAGAGCUUCUAAGUAGCCAGUGACUAGUAAAAUAAAUGCUUGUUUCUGACCCGUGUUGAUUGAUAUAACACAAUUUCUGUGUUUUCAGGAAGGCUUGCACAGUGGCUGGCUGAAUGGACUCCGUCAGAAUUCUCUGCUGUACUGGUGAUACAGAACUGCAGCAGCUCCUUUUCAUUUUGCCCACCCUGUACUGUGCCCGGCAUCCACAAGUGAGGCCAUGUUGUGCAUGUGCUUGUGCUGCUUCAUAGAACAGACCUGCAGGACCAGAUGGUGGUGGUGAUACAGAAUGCCCAGUCCCCCCUGCUUUGUGAUAUGGAGUUGCUCUGCAUGCAGAACAUUGAGUUCAAAUUGUCCAUCUCACUUGUAAGGGGGUAUUCAGAGGCUCUGCUCCCUUUAGGCAGCCUUUUAUUUCUGCACAGAUGCUCAAGGACACUAAGUUAACAUUUUAGCAAACUCCAGAUGUUGUGUGGUACCCAGCACCCUGCUGCAUUGCAUGCAGAACUUUUAGUUGAUUGCUUUGGGAGGUUGUUGUGGCCACAUGGCCAUUGGGAGCCAGAGAUGGAUUAACUGGAUCAGGGGUACUGUGUGUUGGCAGCAACAACUUUUUUCAGUAUGCUAGAUCCUGUUUUUUAGGCAAUCACUUUGUAUUCUCUACCCCACCAAAAUGCAAGUGCCUUUUAAAAAAUAGCUGUAGUCUGCCCACUGUGAGUGCACUUAAAGACACUCACCCAUGUUCCAGAUAGACCACUAAACCAGGGCUGUGGUUUCCUGAACGCAGAGCUGGGUGCAGCUGAAGACAGGGUUCCCCUGCAAGGCCGGGUGUUCCCUCCUGCCAGCAGCUGUGGUUCAGGCUGAGGUAGGAUGCACAUCGCAGCAUCUGGGUGCGUGGCUGGAAACCAGGUGGUCUUCAGCUGCCAGCCACUGCCCCAGGCAGUGCUCAGGGCACUUCUCAGAGUGUGGGAGAAAGACACAUCACUCUCCCUUCUUUAGCUCCAGGAUAACAUUAAGAAAGGCUGGCAUGGAGAAAGGGAUUUCCCCCCCCCAAGCCCUGCCUCUCUUUCUGCUUCUCUAAUAAUAGUCAGUUUUAGGUCUGUCUAAAAUCAGAACAAGUAAACUAAAACUCAGUUGAGGAAGGAGCUGGUAUCAGCAUUGUGGCCAGGUGAUAGGUGCCCUUGGUCAACUUCCUAUCUGCUAAACAUCACCUGCCUUUUCACUGGCACCAUCCCAAGUACUGCAAGGCAACAGACUAGCAGGUACUUCAACAAGAACCUUGCUGGAACCUCUCCUUUGGCCCUCCAGAAGGACAUGCUUUUGGCACACAGGCGUUUGUGACAGGGGGUGGAGAUGAGGGGGUAGGCUGUGGAAGAUGGCUCCAGGUAGGUGUUACAUAAGCUGCAGGAUGCUUGGAGCCUGGCAUCUGAUGCAGGAGGUGGGCUGGGAGCAUGAAUUAAAGCAUGGGGACACUCUAGUGGGGACACACUAGCUUUAGGCACCAAAUGUGCACUGUGAUAGUCAAUUGAGUUGUCACACUGCUACCUCUUCAACCAGGGGAGGGAUGUGCAGGACCCUAAGGGCCGCAGAAGACACUGGGAGGACACAGCUGGUGUCACACCCUUACUGCCAUGUGCUUCUCAAUCUCUGCAGCUAAUGCAACUUGUUGAGAAUCACAGCCCAGAACACAACUCCCUCCUUGUAGCCCUGCCUUUUCCCUCCCAACCUGCAGAACUUGCCUCCUUCUUGCACUGCUACCUCUUCUGCCAGCUGCAGCCCCACAUUUUGGGUCAGUGAGAAGAAGAGAGACCUGCAGGUGAUGAGAUGUGGGAGAGAGAAGAUGACUUUUUCUGGCAAUUUGAUUGCUUUCCCACUUGGUGUUGGAUCCUUUCUCAAAGUCAUUCUUUGAUAAGGCAUUACCCCACCCAGGAGGCACAGAAAGUUGUGUUCUACAUUGAUAUUUGUCUAUUAUUGCUCUAUGGUGUAUCUAAGUGAUGGAAACAGCUACCAACAGCCUAGCAGGUUAAGCAGAAAUAGAUUGCUUGGAAUCCCUUCACGUCCCAGCAGUAAUAUUUCCAGUCCUUCAGAUGUAGCUAAACUUGUAGCUAGCAGCUUGUUGGGUGUUCAGAGAUUGACAUUAAUGACAUGUUAUGCACAAGUAUCUCUUCCGGGACAGAAUCUUAUUCCUCCUAGUGCAGCACAUUAAGUUAUUGCUGUCUUCCACCCCAGAAGUGGCUGCAUUUCUUAUUCUGGCUAUGUAUACAGCAGCUUGUGAAACAUGCUAAGACUCUCCAGCAUGAAAGGCAUUAGAGAAAUGUAAGGCAGGAUCUAAGCUAUGACAUGGCAUCAUAUUCCAUUGGGCAGCAGGGGAAAUGGGGAUGCAAAAUAAGUUCUUGAGCUGAAUAAGCCAUUUGGACAAAAUAAGGACCGAGGUGAACUUUAGUCUUCCACAUCUAAACCAAAAUUGGAUCACAAGACUUCUCACAUUGGUGUGUCAAAGUUAGCUCAUGAAAUUACCCCACCUCCAUUGCCACCAACUGUUUUCUAGUGUAGGAGUUUAAUUCAUAGUUCCAGUUGCUGAAAAAUACGCGAAGACUGGGGCAAACAGGAAAUCUGGUAGCUUGACUAUGAAAAGGUGAGUCAAAUCAAUACUCUGCGUGUUGUAGAAGCUCAGACCCUGACAAGGACUUUUCAUUUCUCUUUUGACCUCAUGGGAUUUUUUUAUUUUUUGGACCUGCUCUGUGAGAAAGCAUUUCAGAUGUGAACAUUUUCUGAGGUCUUCUUGCUGCUUCAUGAUUUGUGGUUAACAUGGUGCUGGAGAAACCCAGCAAAAAAUCCCUCUGCUUAGCCUAGUCUAACCUAAUCUAGUCCAGCUGCAGCCUUUGAGUACUAAAUUGCAACACCUACAGAUUUUUCAGGCUAGCACCUCAUCACAUCCAGUCACCACCUCCACCUGGAGCAAAGGGAAAGGGGGAGUCUCAGCAAUGGGUGGAUGAUGUGUUUGCACUUAGUUUGCAUCCAUGGAGCAGAAACCCUGGUUGGAAAUUCGGGGCAGUAACUAUUAAUAUCUGCUCUUAAACAGGAGUUGCAGUAGUGUUAGCUAGUGAACCUGAACUCUCCUUUCCUUACUGGUUACAGUGGUGAGUCUGUGGAGUUUUGUGCUUGCAGAUAACUGUUUAGCAGCAUGUAUCUGCAAUCUGUGUUUCUCUUUGCCAUGGGGAAGGCCAGGGGGGGUAGUGCUGGCUCUGUGGAGGGAUAUGCAGAGGGUGAUGACUUUACUUUACUCCCUAGGUGGAUGUGAUUCCUUAAAACCAGGCAGGUAACAGCACUGCCCUGCAACAGGGCUUCAGCUUGCACAUACUGGAGCCCACAUAAGCAGCACUGGAUGUGCGGACAAGGCAGCUGGCUUCAUGUGUAGCAGUAACCCAAGAGUUUACCCGGCUUCUCAGGAAAGAUUUGAUGAGCUCUCUGUUAUGUGGCUGCACAGCUACACAGUUCAAAGCUGCUUUGGCUACCCGUGCAUCAGCUGUGCUUGAUGCUUAGAGUUGCUUGGGGAUGUUUGUUUGAUUGUCAAAACAUUUUGGUGUCAAGGGCCUCUCCACACCCUCUGGUGCGAUGUGAUCCUUGAUUAACAGGCUGAGCUCGGCUGUUUGGGAGCCUGUCCCAGUGCUAUUUAAACCUGCACAAAGAAGGGGUAGGAUACUACUGCGUCAUAAUGAUAGUGGUGUGACAGUACCUGCUGGAGUGUGCUGGAUAUGCAAGGUCUGAAGUAACAAGCAAGUACCUGAGCUCAUUUGUCUGCUGUGGCAGUGAUGGAGCUGAAGACAGCGGAGCCCAGACCCACCUGAACCAUCAGGGCCUGCUGCUCCUGAAGAUGACCAGAGUGACUGUUUCUUGGCUUGGGGUGUUGUUUUAUUUUUCUUUUGGGUGUUUGUGAUAUGGUGGUUUUUUGUUUGGUUGUUUUUUUUAUUCCCCACCUCUGCUUUAGUUCUUUUAGAGUUUUGGUCCGGGCUUGCCCAGAAGCUUGGCCACAGGUUUGGGUCCCUGAUGCUUGACCAUAGCUCAGUGAGCAAAGUUCAACUGUUACCACACUGGGGUUGAGCAUAGUUCAGCUCCUCAUGUGCACCGCAGAGAAGGAGCUCACAAUGGGGCAAAACCUGCUUCCUCACCCAAUUUCUGAGGGAGGAAUGGCUGCACCAUGCACAGGGUGCAGCCCACGUGAAUAAUGAGUGGGAAAAACUGGCACAUCUUGGGGCCUUGUGCUCUGUCCUCCCCAGCACCUGGAGCUGCAAAGGGACACAGGCAGUAGCUGCCAACCCUUGAGGGUGCCCAGCUCCAUAACUGACCUGGUCUCCAGCCUGUGCUCCUUGGGAUAUCACAGCCAUCAGCAGCCCCAGCACCUGGCAGCAGCAUCAUGGUUACCUGCCUGGUCCUCCCUGCACUAAAUCAUGCUAUCAAGCUGAUGAUCUGCUGGUAAUUUUGCUCCAGCUGAGUUCUGCAGACCUGCUAUUGUGCAUUCUGCUCUCUCUGUAGGCAAAAAGCCUCACUCCAAAUUAUCUGCCCUUGCUUGGUAUAUGCACAGCUUCUGGCCACUCUCCAGCUCAUUGUCUGUUCUGGAAACCAAAAGACUCUGCCCUAGUACCUAAUUUCAGGAAUGAGGCUCUGGAGGCCGGUGAGGUGCCAUGGACAGAUGUGAGCAAGUGCAUUUUUGUGGCAGUUGCAACACUGAGGCUGUUCCUCAUUAAGACGGGGUGGUGAUGCCCACACUGCCCUGCUGAGCACGGGCAUGGUAAUUAAUGCUAAGCAGCUUUUCUUUAAAAGUUCCCUCCUGGCCCCAUUGUGCACAGGGAAGCACAUGGCACAGCAGCGGGUAAGGGUCUAAAAGAGCAGCUCCAAGGCACAGGCUAGAAGCUGUGAAACGCAGAUGUGUAUUGCUGCACCAGUACAAGCACCGAUCACGAACUUUCUUUGCUAUGCUGUCUUCUCUAUUCCUCCACUUACCUCAAUUUUUUGCUCCCUCUGUCUCUCCUUUGUGAGCUUAUAUGUGAUACAGAGGCUUUGUUCAAAGAGGCUGCUAUACUGCUGGGCUGAGCUGAGAACUCACCUGCUCAUUUCAUGCCAGACACUGAACAACUGUCAGUCUAUUCUGCCUGGGUGCAGCAGAUGUGCAGAGAGGGUGACCAGUGUCCCACCUUGCCAGGGAAGUCAAUGGAAGUUUAACUGCUGACUUCAUGAACAGGAUUUCAACCCAUGUCUGUGAUUAGUGAUGAGAUGAAAUCCACAGCUUGAAAUCAUUUAGCCAGCAUAUCCGACCAAACACAAACAUCCUCUGUGCUUGCAAAUAAAUGAUUUGAGCCAGCUC